RNAcentral lists this ribosomal RNA (304 nucleotides) under uncultured Enterobacteriaceae bacterium. RNAcentral describes it as "bacterial SSU rRNA". It matches the Rfam family "Bacterial small subunit ribosomal RNA", at positions 1076 to 1382 of the family's 1533-position model. Lineage: Bacteria; Pseudomonadati; Pseudomonadota; Gammaproteobacteria; Enterobacterales; Enterobacteriaceae. The record is from RNAcentral.
UCGGUUAAGUCCGCAACGAGCGCAACCCUUAUCCUUGUUGCCAGCGGUCCGGCCGGGAACUCAAAGGAGACUGCCAGUGAUAAACUGGAGGAAGGUGGGGAUGACGUCAAGUCAUCAUGGCCCUUACGACCAGGGCUACACACGUGCUACAAUGGCGCAUACAAAGAGAAGCGACCUCGCGAGAGCAAGCGGACCUCAUAAAGUGCGUCGUAGUCCGGAUUGGAGUCUGCAACUCGACUCCAUGAAGUCGGAAUCGCUAGUAAUCGUGGAUCAGAAUGCCACGGUGAAUACGUUCCCGGGCCUU